RNAcentral lists this ribosomal RNA (308 nucleotides) under uncultured bacterium. RNAcentral's name for it is "partial 16S ribosomal RNA". It matches the Rfam family "Bacterial small subunit ribosomal RNA", at positions 355 to 656 of the family's 1533-position model. The record is from RNAcentral.
UAGGGAAUCUUCCACAAUGGACGCAAGUCUGAUGGAGCAACGCCGCGUGAGUGAAGAAGGUUUUCGGACCGUAAAGCUCUGUUGUUGGUGAAGAAGGAUAGAGGUAGUAACUGGCCUUUAUUUGACGGUAAUCAACCAGAAAGUCACGGCUAACUACGUGCCAGCAGCCGCGGUAAUACGUAGGUGGCAAGCGUUGUCCGGAUUUAUUGGGCGUAAAGCGAGCGCAGGCGGAAGAAUAAGUCUGAUGUGAAAGCCCUCGGCUUAACCGAGGAAUUGCAUCGGAAACUGUUUUCUUGAGUGCAGAAGAG